Sapajus apella (tufted capuchin) is the source of this 3529-nucleotide long non-coding RNA. RefSeq lists it as uncharacterized. NCBI's taxonomy places the organism in Eukaryota, Metazoa, Chordata, Mammalia, Primates, Cebidae. The record is from RefSeq and is a predicted model, not a curated record. The transcript is spliced from 3 exons.
UAUUAGUCUAUAUCAGUUGUUAGGAUAAAUAACCUACCAAAGUUCACAUAGCUGCUAAGUGAUUGAAAUGAGAUUUGAAUUUAGGCAGAGGAUUCCAGAGUCUGUUCUCUUUGACAUAUGGUCAUAACCAUCUUUCCAUGUCAAUAAAUAUAGACUUCACCCGUACUUUUAUUGGGUGUGUAGUAUUUCACUAUCAUCUCACUCAAACUCUUAGUAAUAUUCUGAUCUCUUCAUUUCUUGAAAUGAUUCUUUACAUGCUCUUCUUUCUAAGUUUCCCUCAUGGUUCAUUCUCUAACUGACUUCUAAAUAUUGCCGUUUCCAAUGGCCACGCUCUUUGUUUAUUUUAUUUGCAUUCUUAAGGCAAGCUCGUGAGUUCCUGGGACUUUAAAUACAGUUAAUAUAAUAACAAGGCUCAAAUUUGUAGUUAUGGCACAGAACUUUGUACUUUGCUCUCCAAGUCAUAUCCGCAUUGACUUAUUUGACAUCUCCAUGAAGAUGUGUCAUAGACCUCUAAAAUGUGAAAUUAGAAUGUUUGACUCCUUUGUUCUUCCUCCACAAAUCUGUUUCUUCUCUUUCUGAUCUUAGUAAAUGGCUCUUGCAUUAACUUAGUUGUUCAAGUCAAAAAAUUAGGAGUCAUCAUUGAUUACUCUUUUUUCUGUUCAACCCUUGUAGUUAACUUUUCAGUAAGCCCUGUUUCUGCUUUCAUAAUAUUUCUCCAGUUCAUCCACUUUCACUGUCAUCACCUUCAUCAGGGCACUCCAUCAUUACCCAGUUAUGUAUGAACACCUGCUUUGCAUUGUGUUUUUGACUUCUGCUAACAGUGUUUCACCAUUGUUACUGUUGAUCUUAGGUUGUGAAGCACCGAUGGAGACAGUGUCAGGACUCUGCUUAUUAUAUCUGUAAAUUCAUACUAUCCAAGCUCAGUUAGACUGACAUUACUGUUUAGCAGACUGUCUUCCCUCUGCUUGAACUAUCCUUGUGUUCUCAUGUAUUACUCCUAUCCCCAUUCCCAGCUUGAGUGUAUUGGAAUUAAGAGUGGAGCUUUUUUCUAGCAUACAUGUUUUGUUUUUUCUUUUUUCUUUAUUUCCCCACCCCCUUUUAUUGAGUUAGAUAAAGAAUGGGAAUUCUGCAUCUGAUCUGACUACUAUAAACUGCUGUCAAGUUGACCUUAUAAAAUAUAUUUAUGUAUAAUUUCUGUCUGUAUUUAAUGGAUCUUUUUCCUGCUGAAUGAACUAUGAAAUCAUCAUGCUGGCCUUCUAGGCCAUCUUUUAAGAUGUUUCUAAUUAAAAAAAAAAAAAAAAAAAUCUUAAACCCUUAUCUUCCACUGAGCUAUAUUCAUUGUAGCCAGACUACUCAUUUCAGCGCAUGCUGAGCCUGCUGGUUUUUUUUUUUUUCUUUGUUUUUUUUUUUUUUUUUUGGUCUCUUUCUUCAAUCAUACAGUCUUACUCUGUGUCUCUCAAUGUUCAUUUUAAGAAAACUUCUAGUUCCUUUUACUCUUCCUUCUGCCUCUCAUCUGAAUGUGAUCUCUCCUCUGUAUCCUUUAAUUAUUUUAUCAUAUUAUGCUUCGUGCUACAGUUUAUAUACUUUUAUUUCCUUUUUUUUAAUGGUGAAAAGAUAUACAUAUAUUUAGAGUUAACCAGCUGGACUCAGUUUAGAUGAUCCCAGUUUUGUUGGCAACAUCUAGAGCAUUGUAAUCAGGAGCCAAUUGAACAUAUGCUUUUUUCUCUCCGUCAGGCUGAAUCAGGGUGUUGACCUUGGCCACAUCAGUGUCAUAAGAGCUUCUUCACAGCCUGUUUGAUCUGGUGCUUGUUGGCUUUAACAUCCACAGUGAACACAAGUGUGUUCUUCAUGGCAGACUCAGUGGUCAGUGGAAACUUGGUGGUAGCACAGUGGUCAAGCUUGUUUCUCCUGGGGGUGCUCUUCCAAGGAUAUUUGGACUGCCUCUGGAGUCGCAGUGUCUUGGGCCACUAGAAGGUGGAGGACGUGCAGAUCUUCUUUUUUUGUGGCUGUGGACACCUUUCAACACUGCCUUCUUGGCUUUUAAACCCUUGGCUUUGGCUUCGGGUUUAGGAGAGGCAGGAGCUUGCUUCUUCGAUGGCACCAUCUUGCUAAAAGGCUUAAAAAAAAAAUAUAUAUAUAUAUAUAUAUAUAGUAAAACGUUGACGGCAGGAACUGUGUCUUUCAAAUACUUUUGGCAUUUCCAUAACGGAUUCAUAGCUAUUCUAAAUAGUUCACGCAUAUCUGGGGAGAUGAUCUUAUUUAGUCAAGUUCACAGUUUUGGAGGAAUAUCUAUAGAGCAGCCGGAAAAAAAAGAGAACCCUCAUUAUAGGCAUUUGUCAGUUCAACCCAGACAUUGGUAGCUAAUGUGUAACUGUGCACCCAGAUCAUAUCUGGAGUUAGAUUUUUCUUGUCUUUCAGUAUCCUGUAUAGCACAGAACCUUGAAUGUAGAAAGUUUUUAUUGAAGUGAAUUGACUGUGAUCCUUCCUGAUCACUGGGCUUAUUGUUUCCUGGGCAUCCACUGGCUUGCUUUUAAUUUAGUUUUAAACCAGGCUUUUAAAGUAGAACCAACCAGAAGGCAGAGAUGUUGGGGACAUGAUUUUCCAAUGGUACUCAUGUAAACUUAACUUUUUAAUUCCUUUUUUGGAAUAAAACAGGCUCUUGACUGUUUACAGGGUUAUUUCUAAGUUGCAAAAAUUAUCUGUCUUUCAACAUGUUUUGGUAAUUCCUAUAUCCUCCAUUUGAUCUUGGCUGCCACAAACAGAAAGUACGAGAACAUUUUUUUCUUAUGUCUAUGGUAGAAAUAGUAACUGCUCCAGGUCUGUCAAGUACAUCGAUUAGAUCUUCUUAUAAAAAUAAUAUAAUAUUUUUUAUAAUAAAAAUAAAUUUGAAAUCUUCAAGUGAGGUGUUUUGGUUAGAAUUAUUUUCAAAACAUUUUGUCCAUAAGCGUUUGAGGAGGUCUGUUUUAGGAUUUUCUAAGUAUAUUAGUCAGUUUUCACACUGUGAAUAAAGACAUACCGGAGACUGGGCAAUAAACAAAAGAAAGAGGUUUAUUGGACUUACAGUUCUGCAUGGCUAGGGAGGCUUCACAAUCGUGGUGGGAGGCAAGGAGCAGCACGUCAGGUCUUAUGUGGAUGGCAGCAGGCAAAAAGAGCUUGUGCAGGAAAACUCCCCCUUAUAAUAACCAUUAGAUCCUGUGAGACUUAAUAUCAUGAGAACAGCACAGGAGAGACCUGCCCACAUAAUUUGUUACCUCCCACCAGGUCUCUCCCACAACACAAGGGAAUUCAAGAUGAGAUUUAGUUGUGGACACAGCCAAACCAUAUCAGCAAAUAUGUCUCUGGCUACACUUAGGAAUGUCUUAUCUACUUAAUUUUUUUUUUAAGUUCUGCAUAUUACCUUCAGAAAGUACAAAUAAAAAUAAGAAUAAAAAUUACCAAAGAUUUUAUCAGUCAUGUUAUUACCCUGUUAACUUUUGAUAUCUAUCUAUCUAUCUAUCUAUCUAUCUAUCUGUUUUUCUCAUAUGGAUAG